RNA transcript from Phragmites australis (common reed), 2926 nucleotides. RefSeq lists it as uncharacterized. The transcript is spliced from 5 exons. The record is from RefSeq and is a predicted model, not a curated record. Lineage: Eukaryota; Viridiplantae; Streptophyta; Magnoliopsida; Poales; Poaceae.
UGACGAAACUGAAAACUAACCUACUGAACUUGAACACUACAGCAGCACUAAAGGAUUAUUACAUCAUCCCUUCCCACUGCCCUUAGCCGCCGCCGCCGCCGCCGCCUCCCUCCUCCGCACCGUCUCCCACCUGGUGCCGCCGCUACCUCUCCUCCCUUCCCUACUCAACCUCGCCGUCUACCUGCGCUGACGCGGCCACCGCUGCCGUUGCCCCUCCUCCCCCACCCUCCCUAAGCUAAUGACGGUGGGGACGCGAUGCGCGAGGAGAGGGCGCGGGGGAAGCGGCGGUAGGACGGGCGGCACGGAAGAGGAGGAGGCGGUAACCGCGUCGGUGCAAGCGGUGACAACGCGGGGGAGGAAUAAUGCCCUUGUCAACCCGAGCCAGACGCGCUCCAUCUGCUCCGCAGGGCUACGCAUGGCCGCCGUGCCGCUGCCGGACGGCGCCGUCGUGCACUUCUGUCUCCCGCGCGCCGGCCCGGCCCACCCCCGCAAGGUGGUGAAGUUACAGCAGCGGCGCCGGCGCGGCCUAGCGCGACCUGCAGCGGCAGGGCAUCGCUGCGGCAGAGAGCGCUGGAGCCGGGCAUGGCUUGAUGCGAGGUACGGCAGCCGGCGCCGGCGCGCGGGGCGUGACCUGGGGCGUGCUGCGGCGGCCGAUGAUGAACAGAUUCUGGUUGCAUCUUGUUCUCUUGGAAACAAGCGACAGCAAUCUGAAGUGUGUGCCUGUUUCCCCGAGCCAUUAUUUAAGAGCUCGAUGGCUCCAGUGAGUUUGCCUGGGCUCCUCUGACAGUGGUUUUGCUAAAUUGUUCAUGGAUGUGUUGCUCAGAGCAUAUCUGAUCCAGUAGAUGGGGAAAACAAAUCGUGUUCACUUUUAAUUGAUGAGGAAGCCAAUUUGGCGCAAGAUGCAAUGCAAAUGGAACAAUCAAUGUUAUGAAGCAUUGACAUUGGUAGUGUUUUAUCUGUGAUCAACCUCAGGCAACUGCGUAUAUGUCGUAUUCCUGUUCUGUGCUCUUAUAGGAUGACUCUGAUGUGCCAGAUGGGAAGGCAAAGCAGCAGCCAAAACCCCUUAUGCACAGAGCAGCCCAAUUCAAAUGAUGAAAUGGAUUUAAGGGGCGUCAAAGCUGAUCAGCAAUUGCUGCCCCUUAAUUGCAAGCAGUGCAACUCCAAUAGGGGUCUUGAACCUUGUGACAUGGAAGAUAAGAAAGUUCCUUUGUCUCUCUCUUAUAAAAGGCAACCCCACUCUGUGGGAGCUGGUCUAAGCAAUAUGGGCAACACAUGCUUCCUAAAUGCAACUCUUCAGUACAUCACUCAUACGGUCCCACUGUCUCUUAAGCUUUGCUCAACUGAUCAUUCCACUCCAUGCUUAUGUAUGGGUAAUUUCGGGUAAUUAUUUUUUAUUGCCUGAAAAUUGAUUUUCAGAUGUUCUUCUCCAUAUUACUUUGCAUGAUUAGGAUUGUUGGUUACCUGCUGAUGACAAAGAUGGGUUCUGUUCUUUCUGUGCCCUCAAAGAAAACCGCAAAAUAUUAGCAUUUAAUUUGAUAACUUUGUUCAGUAGAUAAUCUAGAUAAUACUCUAGGUUCUUUAUGGGUUUGCUUCCUAGCAGUUUUGUUCACCAAAGAAAUGUAGAUAAAAUUGUGCACUUGAAAAGUUCACACAGUACAUCAUGUAGCGUCACGCUGGAUUGGUAAUUUGGUGUGGUGCUGGAGCUUGAUACCCCAUUUCCUGAUCUUCAGGUUACAACAUUUUAGUUUUGUGAGAGAUGUUGUAUGGGGUACAUGACCUGCUACCCGUUUAGCAAGUUUCCAUUUGGUCCCAAAGUGUCAUGCUCUCGACCGUAGCAACUUUUGAAAUACUGCUGUACAAUUUGCUUUUGGUUUUGCUCAUGUGAACUAACGCUACCUUUUAUUACAUGAAGGCACACUAUACUACUUAUACUAGAUAGGCAGACAACUAGACAGCUACAAAAUUGUGUAUUACGCUAAUACAAUGGUUUAGUAACUAGUAUAAGAGUACUAAAAUGUAUUGGGAGUGCAACAACUUGCAAGGUGGGUGCAAGUUAGUCACAAAUUUUGAAAAUUGAUCAAAGAGAGAAACAUGUAAAAUUAGUGGCAAUAGCUAGCAAUACAAGAAUGUGAGUAGAUUUGCUAACCCUCAUGUGGCCCUGUCUGCCUGGUUGGCGUCGACUAGGAUGAUUAGCCACUGUGGCAUGGAGUUUGACCAGUUUUGCAGCCAUAAAACAAAAAUAGUGCCUAUGUGAUCAGUUUCCAAGAUGUGUGACUAACUUGCACUCACCUUGCGAGUUGUUGCACCUCCAAUGCAUUUUACUCUUAGUAUAAAUAUAUUUGGCCAUUGUUGCUGGAGACUGAAUGGAUCAUUGCAAAAAGGACACUGCUAGUGCCCAGAUGCCCAAAGGGAAAUUUCCUAUUGGACACUCCAAAUAUCGUCUGCGACACUAGAGGACACCAUUUGCAAUGCCGUAGAUAACAAAAAGUACACAAAAGUAAUACAUCUUCAAUAAAAUAAUUAAAAUAUCAUUGCAUUAAAAAGAUUGAUAAAUAUGUGAGUUUGGAACGUAGGCAUUUUCUAGAACUAAAUUAAGAAAAAUGGACGAACAAUGUUUGGAUCUUAGAAGGUUGGAACGUUGGGAAAUGAUAGCUGCAACCUUUUGAGUCCAAGUUUGUAGCAAACUAGUAAGUGUGCAUGUGAAAUCCACAUGUCUAACAAUAUAAAUUGAAUAAUAUUGCAAUGCGAGCCGAUUUCUUUUUUAUUUUCACGAGAAUGUUGCAUGGCUGGUUUUCCCGAGAAAGUUACAGGUCAGAUAGAUUGACAAAGGCUUGAUUAUAGACCCUGGUGCAAGUCAUCCAGGCCAGUCACGUAGGACAGCACGAUAACUACGGAAAAUAUCAAAGAACAUGGAAUAAACUUGAGA